ACUAGAAGCCGAUGAAGGACGUUACUAACGACGAUAUGCUUUGGGGAGCUGUAAGUAAGCUUUGAUCCAGAGAUUUCCGAAUGGGGAAACCCAGCAUGAGUUAUGUCAUGUUAUCGAUAUGUGAAUACAUAGCAUAUCAGAAGGCACACCCGGAGAACUGAAACAUCUUAGUACCCGGAGGAAGAGAAAGAAAAUUCGAUUCCCUUAGUAGCGGCGAGCGAAACGGGAAGAGCCCAAACCAACAAGCUUGCUUGUUGGGGUUGUAGGACACUCUGUACGGAGUUACAAAGGACGACAUUAGACGAAUCAUCUGGAAAGAUGAAUCAAAGAAGGUAAUAAUCCUGUAGUCGAAAAUGUUGUCUCUCUUGAGUGGAUCCUGAGUACGACGGAGCACGUGAAAUUCCGUCGGAAUCUGGGAGGACCAUCUCCUAAGGCUAAAUACUCUCUAGUGACCGAUAGUGAACCAGUACCGUGAGGGAAAGGUGAAAAGCACCCCGGAAGGGGAGUGAAAUAGAACCUGAAACCGUGUGCUUACAAGUAGUCAGAGCCCGUUAAUGGGUGAUGGCGUGCCUUUUGUAGAAUGAACCGGCGAGUUACGAUUUGAUGCAAGGUUAAGCAGUAAAUGUGGAGCCGUAGCGAAAGCGAGUCUGAAUAGGGCGUUUAGUAUUUGGUCGUAGACCCGAAACCAGGUGAUCUACCCUUGGUCAGGUUGAAGUUCAGGUAACACUGAAUGGAGGACCGAACCGACUUACGUUGAAAAGUGAGCGGAUGAACUGAGGGUAGCGGAGAAAUUCCAAUCGAACCUGGAGAUAGCUGGUUCUCUCCGAAAUAGCUUUAGGGCUAGCCUCAAGUGAUGAUUAUUGGAGGUAGAGCACUGUUUGGACGAGGGGCCCCUCUCGGGUUACCGAAUUCAGACAAACUCCGAAUGCCAAUUAAUUUAACUUGGGAGUCAGAACAUGGGUGAUAAGGUCCGUGUUCGAAAGGGAAACAGCCCAGACCACCAGCUAAGGUCCCAAAAUAUAUGUUAAGUGGAAAAGGAUGUGGCGUUGCCCAGACAACUAGGAUGUUGGCUUAGAAGCAGCCAUCAUUUAAAGAGUGCGUAAUAGCUCACUAGUCGAGUGACACUGCGCCGAAAAUGUACCGGGGCUAAACAUAUUACCGAAGCUGUGGAUUGUCCUUUGGACAAUGGUAGGAGAGCGUUCUAAGGGCGUUGAAGCAUGAUCGUAAGGACAUGUGGAGCGCUUAGAAGUGAGAAUGCCGGUGUGAGUAGCGAAAGACGGGUGAGAAUCCCGUCCACCGAUUGACUAAGGUUUCCAGAGGAAGGCUCGUCCGCUCUGGGUUAGUCGGGUCCUAAGCUGAGGCCGACAGGCGUAGGCGAUGGAUAACAGGUUGAUAUUCCUGUACCACCUAUAAUCGUUUUAAUCGAUGGGGGGACGCAGUAGGAUAGGCGAAGCGUGCGAUUGGAUUGCACGUCUAAGCAGUAAGGCUGAGUAUUAGGCAAAUCCGGUACUCGUUAAGGCUGAGCUGUGAUGGGGAGAAGACAUUGAGUCUUCGAGUCGUUGAUUUCACACUGCCGAGAAAAGCCUCUAGAUAGAAAAUAGGUGCCCGUACCGCAAACCGACACAGGUAGUCAAGAUGAGAAUUCUAAGGUGAGCGAGCGAACUCUCGUUAAGGAACUCGGCAAAAUGACCCCGUAACUUCGGGAGAAGGGGUGCUCUUUAGGGUUAACGCCCAGAAGAGCCGCAGUGAAUAGGCCCAAGCGACUGUUUAUCAAAAACACAGGUCUCUGCUAAACCGUAAGGUGAUGUAUAGGGGCUGACGCCUGCCCGGUGCUGGAAGGUUAAGAGGAGUGGUUAGCUUCUGCGAAGCUACGAAUCGAAGCCCCAGUAAACGGCGGCCGUAACUAUAACGGUCCUAAGGUAGCGAAAUUCCUUGUCGGGUAAGUUCCGACCCGCACGAAAGGCGUAACGAUUUGGGCACUGUCUCAACGAGAGACUCGGUGAAAUCAUAGUACCUGUGAAGAUGCAGGUUACCCGCGACAGGACGGAAAGACCCCGUGGAGCUUUACUGUAGCCUGAUAUUGAAAUUCGGCACAGCUUGUACAGGAUAGGUAGGAGCCUUUGAAACGUGAGCGCUAGCUUACGUGGAGGCGCUGGUGGGAUACUACCCUAGCUGUGUUGGCUUUCUAACCCGCACCACUUAUCGUGGUGGGAGACAGUGUCAAGCGGGCAGUUUGACUGGGGCGGUCGCCUCCUAAAAGGUAACGGAGGCGCUCAAAGGUUCCCUCAGAAUGGUUGGAAAUCAUUCAUAGAGUGUAAAGGCAUAAGGGAGCUUGACUGCGAGACCUACAAGUCGAGCAGGGUCGAAAGACGGACUUAGUGAUCCGGUGGUUCCGCAUGGAAGGGCCAUCGCUCAACGGAUAAAAGCUACCCCGGGGAUAACAGGCUUAUCUCCCCCAAGAGUUCACAUCGACGGGGAGGUUUGGCACCUCGAUGUCGGCUCAUCGCAUCCUGGGGCUGUAGUCGGUCCCAAGGGUUGGGCUGUUCGCCCAUUAAAGUGGUACGCGAGCUGGGUUCAGAACGUCGUGAGACAGUUCGGUCCCUAUCCGUCGUGGGCGUAGGAAAUUUGAGAGGAGCUGUCCUUAGUACGAGAGGACCGGGAUGGACAUACCUCUGGUGUACCAGUUGUCGUGCCAACGGCAUAGCUGGGUAGCUAUGUGUGGACGGGAUAAGUGCUGAAAGCAUCUAAGCAUGAAGCCCCCCUCAAGAUGAGAUUUCCCAACUUCGGUUAUAAGAUCCCUCAAAGAUGAUGAGGUUAAUAGGUUCGAGGUGGAAGCAUGGUGACAUGUGGAGCUGACGAAUACUAAUCGAUCGAAGACUUAAUCA
This 2885-nucleotide ribosomal RNA is filed under the name Staphylococcus aureus subsp. aureus CIG1750. RNAcentral's name for it is "bacterial LSU rRNA". It matches the Rfam family "Bacterial large subunit ribosomal RNA". The record is from RNAcentral. Lineage: Bacteria; Bacillati; Bacillota; Bacilli; Caryophanales; Staphylococcaceae.